RNAcentral lists this ribosomal RNA (416 nucleotides) under Araneus angulatus. RNAcentral describes it as "partial 16S ribosomal RNA". It matches the Rfam family "Bacterial large subunit ribosomal RNA", at positions 1826 to 2569 of the family's 2925-position model. Lineage: Eukaryota; Metazoa; Arthropoda; Arachnida; Araneae; Araneidae. The record is from RNAcentral.
CUCUUACUUAUAUAUUUGUAAGUAAUACCUGCUCAAUGAAUAUUUAAAUAGCCGCGGAAUUUUAACUGUGCUAAGGUAGCAUAAUCAUUAGUCCCUUAAUUAGGGACUUGUAUGAAAGGUAAAACAUUUUAAUCUCUUUCUUUGUCCUUAAAUUUUAAGUUAAAUUAAGAAUAAAAAUGUUCUUAUUUUUAAAAUAGACGAUAAGACCCUUUUGAACUUUACUGAUGUUUAGCUGGGGCAGCUAAAUAAUAAUAAUCUUACUUUAUAUAUUUUAUUAGAUGACCCAAACCGGUUGGAAAUCAGAUCAAGUUACCAUAGGGAUAACAGCGUAAUUUCUUUUUAAAGCUCUUAUUAAAAAAGAAGAUUGCGACCUCGCAGUGGAAUUAAUGUCUCUUUAUAGUGCAAUAACCUUAAAA